RNAcentral lists this long non-coding RNA (1182 nucleotides) under Oncorhynchus mykiss (rainbow trout). RNAcentral describes it as "lncRNA (ENSOMYG00000053882.1)". The record is from RNAcentral. Lineage: Eukaryota; Metazoa; Chordata; Actinopteri; Salmoniformes; Salmonidae.
AUGAAUCAUGCUGCCACGCAGGCAGCAGGGUCUAGCCCUUUCUCGCCCUCUCUGCACCCCUCUCACCCUCUCUACACCCCUCUCACCCUCUACAGCCCUUUCUCCCUCUCUACAGCCCUCUCUCCCUCUCUACACCCCUCUCUCCCUCUCUACACCCCUCUCACCCUCUCUACACCCCUCUCUCCCUCUCUACACCCCUCUCUCCCUCUCUACACCCCUCUCUCCCUCUCUACACCCUUCUCUCCCUCUCUACACCCUUCUCUCCCUCUCUACACACCUCUCACCCUCUACACCCCUCUCUCACUCUACACCCCUCUCUCCCUCUCUACACCCCUCUCUCCAUCUACAGCCCUCUCUACACCCCUCUCCCUCUCUACACCCCUCUCUCACCCUCUAUACCACUCUCUCCCUCUCUACACCCCUCUCUCCCUCUCUACACCCCUCUCUCCCUCUCUACACCCCUCUCCCUCUCUACACCCCUCUCACCCUCUACACCCCUCUCCCUCUCUACACCCCUCUCUCCCUCUCUACACCCCUCUCUCCCUCUCUACACCCCUCUCCCUCUCUACACCCCUCUCUCACCCUCUACAGCCCUCUCUCCCUCUCUACACCCCUUCACCCUCUCUACACCCCUUCACCCUCUCUACACCCCUCUCUCCCUCUCUACACCCUUCUCUCCCUCUCUACACCCCUCUCUCCCUCUCUACACCCCUCUCUCAAUCUACACCCAGUCAGUCAGGACCUAUCCUGCUCCUGUCUUGUCCCCUACAGUCAGUCAGAACCUAUCCUGCUCCUGUCUUGUCCCCUACAGUCAGUCAGGACCUAUCCUGCUCUACACCUAUCCUGCUCCUGUCUUGUCCCCUACAGUCAGUCAGGACCAUUAGAAUUCCUACUACCUCCCCUUCGUGUUCACAGCCUUCACACAGACUCCACAGGACUCCGUCAUCCCUGUCGGGUCACUCCCAGGCCGUCCCAGGACUCCGCCAUCCCUGUCGGGUCAUUCCCAGGCCGUCACAGGACUCCGUCAUCCCUGUCGGGUCACUCCCAGGCCAUCACAGGACUCCGUCAUCCCUGUCGGGUCACUGCCAGGCCAUCAAAGGACUCCGUCAUCCCUGUCGGGUCACUCCCAGGCCGUCCCACUCAAGAGGACCACAGAAGAGGUCCAUUGACAGUCUAGUCUAG